CCUACGGGUGGCAGCAGUGAGGAAUAUUGGUCAAUGGACGCAAGUCUGAACCAGCCAAGUAGCGUGCAGGAUGACGGCCCUCCGGGUUGUCAACUGCUUUUAGUAGGGAAUAAAAGGGGGCUCGUGAGCCUCGUAUUGUAUGUUCCAUCAGAAAAAGGACCGGCUAAUUCCGUGCCAGCAGCCGCGGUAAUGCGGAAGGUCCGGGCGUUAUCCGGUUUUAUUGGGUUUAAAGGGCGCGUAGGCGGGCUUUUAAGUCAGUGGGGAAAGUCCGCGGCUCAACCGUGGAAUUGCAGUUGAAACUGGAGGCCUUGAGUACACACAGGGAUGCCGGAAUUCAUGGUGUAGCGGUGAAAUGCUUAGAGAUCAUGAAGAACUCCGAUCGCGAAGGCAAGUGUCCGGGGUGCAACUGACGCUGAGGCUCGAAAGUGCGGGUAUCAAACAGGAUUAGAUACCCUAGUAGUC
Molecule: ribosomal RNA, 462 nt
Filed under: uncultured bacterium
Lineage: Bacteria
Description: partial 16S ribosomal RNA
Rfam family: Bacterial small subunit ribosomal RNA
Source: RNAcentral